CGAAUCUUUUUGAGAUAAUUAUGUGCCCUUUCAAGAACCAAAUCAACCCUAACUUUUGUCUUGUUCUUCCUUGAACUUGGAUAAUGCUUGAUGACAACACUCUUGGGAGAUUCAAGCUCAGAACUUUCACCACUCUUCGUCGCCGGAGUCUGUAAUUCUAGUAGUAAUUUUUGUCGUUAACCACUCAUUUUUAGUGAACAAUACAGUCAACGUGAUUUUCAUUUGAGAAGAAACUAAUUUGGACAAAAUCUGAGGCUCUGUGUAUAUCCAUUUGGAAUGAC
RNAcentral lists this long non-coding RNA (281 nucleotides) under Trifolium pratense (red clover). RNAcentral describes it as "long non-coding RNA (TPRA_LNC011785)". Lineage: Eukaryota; Viridiplantae; Streptophyta; Magnoliopsida; Fabales; Fabaceae. The record is from RNAcentral.